RNAcentral lists this ribosomal RNA (468 nucleotides) under uncultured bacterium. RNAcentral describes it as "partial 16S ribosomal RNA". It matches the Rfam family "Bacterial small subunit ribosomal RNA", at positions 28 to 507 of the family's 1533-position model. The record is from RNAcentral.
GACGAACGCUGGCGGCGUGCUUAACACAUGCAAGUCGAACGGAAAGGCCCUGCUUUUGUGGGGUGCUCGAGUGGCGAACGGGUGCGUAACACGUGAGUAACCUGCCCUUGACUUUGGGAUAACUUCAGGAAACUGGGGCUAAUACCGGAUAGGAUCUCCUGCUGCAUGGUGGGGGUUGGAUCGUUUCGGCGGUUGGGGAUGGACUCGCGGCUUAUCAGCUUGUUGGUGGGGUAGUGGCUUACCAAGGCUUUGACGGGUAGCCGGCCUGAGAGGGUGACCGGCCACAUUGGGACUGAGAUACGGCCCAGACUCCUACGGGAGGCAGCAGUGGGGAAUAUUGCACAAUGGGCGGAAGCCUGAUGCAGCAACGCCGCGUGCGGGAUGACGGCCUUCGGGUUGUAAACCGCUUUCGCCUGUGACGAAGCGUGAGUGACGGUAAUGGGUAAAGAAGCACCGGCUAACUACGUG